Molecule: ribosomal RNA, 497 nt
Filed under: uncultured bacterium
Lineage: Bacteria
Description: partial 16S ribosomal RNA
Rfam family: Bacterial small subunit ribosomal RNA
Source: RNAcentral
GAUGAACGCUGGCGGCGUGCCUAAUACAUGCAAGUCGAGCGAACAGACGAGGAGCUUACUCCUCUGACGUUAGCGGCGGACGGGUGAGUAACACGUGGAUAACCUACCUAUAAGACUGGGAUAACUUCGGGAAACCGGAGCUAAUACCGGAUAACAUGUUGAACCGCAUGGUUCAACAGUGAAAGACGGUCUUGCUGUCACUUAUAGAUGGAUCCGCGUCGCAUUAGCUAGUUGGUAAGGUAACGGCUUACCAAGGCAACGAUGCGUAGCCGACCUGAGAGGUGGAUCGGCCACCCUGGAACUGAGACGCGGUCCAGACUCCUACGGGAGGCAGCAGUAGGGAAUCUUCCGCAAUAGGCGAAAGCCUGACGGAGCAACGCCGCGUGAGUGAAGAAGGUCUUCGGAGCGUAAAACUCUGUUAUUAGGGAAGAACAAAUGUGUAAGUAACUAUGCACGUCUUGACGGUACCUAAUCAGAAAGCCACGGCUAACUACGUG